RNAcentral lists this transfer RNA (72 nucleotides) under Bos taurus (domestic cattle). It matches the Rfam family "tRNA". Rfam says of the family: Transfer RNA (tRNA) molecules are approximately 80 nucleotides in length. Their secondary structure includes four short double-helical elements and three loops (D, anti-codon, and T loops). Lineage: Eukaryota; Metazoa; Chordata; Mammalia; Artiodactyla; Bovidae. RNAcentral also lists the same sequence under 4 other names. The record is from Rfam by way of RNAcentral.
UCCCUGGUAGCUCAGAGGUUAAAGCGUCUGCCUGAAAUGCAGGAGACCAAGGUUCGAUCCCUGGGUUGGGAA